Small nucleolar RNA from Piliocolobus tephrosceles (Ugandan red Colobus), 105 nucleotides. Its record names the gene SNORA63. It matches the Rfam family "Small nucleolar RNA SNORA63". From Rfam's summary of the family: E3 belongs to the H/ACA class of snoRNAs and is involved in the processing of eukaryotic pre-rRNA and has regions of complementarity to 18S rRNA. NCBI's taxonomy places the organism in Eukaryota, Metazoa, Chordata, Mammalia, Primates, Cercopithecidae. The record is from Ensembl.
AUACAGAUACUGUUACAAUAUAAGUUAAGUGUUUUAUUGUUGUUCCCUUGCUUAAAGCAUUUGAAACAGGCCAGGGAACAGUGGCUCACGCUGGUAAUCCCAGCA